CAAGUACAAGCCUGGAGACGAAACAUGUUUGGUAAACGGAAGGAAGAGCAAGGAGACAGAUUGCAUCACUGAGAGCUGGAAUCAUUCCUGCGGAGCCCCUUGGCUUGUUGCUCCUCCAUGAGAGGGGUCUCUGUUGGAGUGAGAGACUGCAAUCCAUCAUCCACCAGUGGAGGGAAGCAAAAGACAGAAAAGGCAAGAAGGAAGGCAGAAAGAAAAGAGGGCCCACCGAAAUGAUGUGGUCUACACCAGUAUCUCAGGAUGGAGAAGCUCAGCAAGCCUUACAAAAGAAUGAUCCACACUCACUGUUUUCACCUCCUCCUCUCCCAUUCCCUCCCGCCACACCUCUGGGACCACCUUUCCCAGGGUUACUGAAGGCUCCCUUUGUACAGAAUCCAAUGGACACUUUUAAGU
This 411-nucleotide long non-coding RNA is filed under the name Equus caballus (horse). Its description in RNAcentral is "lncRNA (ENSECAG00000044768.1)". Lineage: Eukaryota; Metazoa; Chordata; Mammalia; Perissodactyla; Equidae. The record is from RNAcentral.